UGUAUCACAGACAUAAUGUACACAAUGUGAUAGUAGAAUAAUUCUUUUAUUCAUUUAUAGUCAAAAUUAUAAAUUUGCCCUUACAUUUGUACAGGAAUGUAUCAGCCAAUCUGGCAUCUAGGGCACACAUCUAACAAACUCCCACUUGACCUAAUGCCAAUUAGCUACAUAUCUAAGUCCCAUCUUCUCAAGGUGGGCUUCGAUCUUCUGCUG
This 213-nucleotide long non-coding RNA is filed under the name Elaeis guineensis (African oil palm). RNAcentral describes it as "long non-coding RNA (EGUI_LNC061604)". Lineage: Eukaryota; Viridiplantae; Streptophyta; Magnoliopsida; Arecales; Arecaceae. The record is from RNAcentral.